Molecule: transfer RNA, 84 nt
Filed under: Caproiciproducens faecalis
Lineage: Bacteria; Bacillati; Bacillota; Clostridia; Eubacteriales; Acutalibacteraceae
Description: tRNA-Leu
Rfam family: tRNA
About the family: Transfer RNA (tRNA) molecules are approximately 80 nucleotides in length. Their secondary structure includes four short double-helical elements and three loops (D, anti-codon, and T loops).
Source: RNAcentral
GCGGGUGUGGUGGAAUUGGCAGACACGCAAGAUUUAGGUUCUUGUGGCAAUACCGUGCAGGUUCAAGUCCUGUCACCCGCACCA